This 241-nucleotide ribosomal RNA is filed under the name Lonchodes brevipes. RNAcentral's name for it is "partial 12S ribosomal RNA". The record is from RNAcentral. Lineage: Eukaryota; Metazoa; Arthropoda; Insecta; Phasmatodea; Lonchodidae.
UAAACUAGGAUUAGAUACCCUAUUAUUUUUAAUAUAAAUGUUUUGCCUAGGUAAUAAAAGUUUUGUUCUUUAAAACCUAAAGAAUUUGGCGGUGUUUUAGUCUUUUUAGAGGAAUUUGUCUCGUAAUCGAUAAUCCUCGUUUUAUCUUUCUUUAAAUUGUUUAUUCAGUAUGUAUACCGCCGUUAUAAGUUUAUAUUAUUAGAUUUUAAUUUACUUUAAAUUUUAUUUUAUUUUAUUUCAG